UACGGGGGGGGCAAGCGUUGUUCGGAAUUACUGGGCGUAAAGGGCUCGUAGGCGGCCAACUAAGUCAGACGUGAAAUCCCUCGGCUUAACCGGGGAACUGCGGCUGAUACUGGAUGGCUUGAGUUUGGGAGAGGGAUGCGGAAUUCCAGGUGUAGCGGUGAAAUGCGUAGAUAUCUGGAGGAACACCGGUGGCGGAGGCGGCAUCCUGGACCAACACUGACGCUCAUGCGCGAAAGCGUGGGGAGCAAACAGG
Molecule: ribosomal RNA, 253 nt
Filed under: uncultured bacterium
Lineage: Bacteria
Description: partial 16S ribosomal RNA
Rfam family: Bacterial small subunit ribosomal RNA
Source: RNAcentral